AUUAAGGAGACGAAUACUUUUCCAAUGAGUUUUUAAUGCAUCUAGGAGAGAAUGAGAUUCUCUCAUAAUGAACACCUCUUGAGACACCACUACAUAAUGGCAUCUCGAAAAGGAGGAAUCAAAUCUUUUCAUGAUGGAGUUUGUGAGUCUGUUGAUCUCUUUUUGAGAUUGUGCUCUUGAGACUACGUGCAAUAUUCUGAAUAAUAUUCCAAACAAAUCAAUCACAAAAGCUCUAAAUGAGAUAUGGACUGGGUGUUGACCGAUACCCUCUUACCUUAAGGUUUGGGG
This 288-nucleotide long non-coding RNA is filed under the name Elaeis guineensis (African oil palm). RNAcentral describes it as "long non-coding RNA (EGUI_LNC080392)". The record is from RNAcentral. Lineage: Eukaryota; Viridiplantae; Streptophyta; Magnoliopsida; Arecales; Arecaceae.